CCUGUCUCCGAGAGAAAAAAAAAAGAUUAAAAUGGCCCCUGCACAAGGAUGACAUGCAAAUUCAUCAAGCAUUCCAUAUGAGA
Molecule: small nuclear RNA, 83 nt
Filed under: Gorilla gorilla gorilla (western lowland gorilla)
Lineage: Eukaryota; Metazoa; Chordata; Mammalia; Primates; Hominidae
Source: RNAcentral